This 305-nucleotide ribosomal RNA is filed under the name uncultured bacterium. RNAcentral's name for it is "partial 16S ribosomal RNA". It matches the Rfam family "Bacterial small subunit ribosomal RNA", at positions 335 to 656 of the family's 1533-position model. The record is from RNAcentral.
CUUCCUACGGGGGGCAGCAGUGGGGGAUAUUGCACAAUGGGGGGAACCCUGAUGCAGCGACGCCGCGUGGGUGAAGGAGCGUUUCGGCGCGUAAAGCCCUAUCGGCAGGGAAGAAGGAGGACGGUACCUGACUAAGAAGCCCCGGCUAACUACGUGCCAGCAGCCGCGGUAAUACGUAGGGGGCAAGCGUUAUCCGGAUUUACUGGGUGUAAAGGGGGCGCAGACGGCAGCGCAAGCCAGGAGUGAAAGCCCGGGGCCCAACCCCGGGACUGCUCUGGAAACUAUUGAACUUGAGUGCAGGAGAG